GUCUUCGUUGUGUACCGGUCAGCACGCUCGGCGCGUAUUCGAGAGGUCCAGGGUUCAAGUCCCGGCGAGGGCA
Molecule: non-coding RNA, 73 nt
Organism: Stegodyphus mimosarum
Lineage: Eukaryota; Metazoa; Arthropoda; Arachnida; Araneae; Eresidae
Source: Rfam